Molecule: long non-coding RNA, 6308 nt
Organism: Triplophysa dalaica
Lineage: Eukaryota; Metazoa; Chordata; Actinopteri; Cypriniformes; Nemacheilidae
Exons: 8
Source: RefSeq, a predicted model, not a curated record
ACAAACGGUUUGCACAAAAUCUACUAAAAUGAAACAAAAUAUAUUGCAUUGGCCUAUACAUGCAGUAUUGCGUUUAUUCUCUAAUGCAGUGGAUUUUAGUUUAGCAGUGAUGGUACCUAUUGUUCAAUAAACUGUGUGGUCAGCUUGUUUAAUGUAGUGCUUGUGCACACUUAUUUGUUAGAUGUAUAGUUGGAGUGCGGAAAAGUCCACCCUCCGUUUUUAAGUAUGAACUGAAGCGAUCUUGUAAAGUGACCGUUACAGUAUACAAUAUUAUAAAAUAUUAUCACGUCAUCAGGUCGGUCGAGCAGAUGCUUAUUAAUGCAGGGGUGACAACUUUCAUUCGUUUGGCACUUGGCAAAUAAUAAUCCAAAUACUUAUCAUGUAAUGUUUUAUAAUAUCAUGUCUACAAACCAAACCCACGUAUUAUGCCUUUCAUGACGUCUUACGUUCGAAUAGCUCAUAACAUCUCUGAGGUAAAUUAUUCCCCGAGGCUAAUGUUAGUAACGCUUGUUCAGUUUACGAUCUCAACGUUACCGAGCAUAUCUUCUGAAUAUCUUUUUUGCGAAACACAAUCGACGAUAAACGACAUUCAACUAAAACAUCUGUGGCCUUCACGAGCAUCCAGUUAGCGUCGAUCGUCGUGUCUCAAGAGACCAUCGUGCCUCAGGUCAACAUGAACUGCAGCCUGCAAGAAGAUCAACCACAGAAGACUGCCUUCUUCAGGAGAAAAUGGCGGGCAGUUAAAAGAAUAUUGACUGGGAGUAACAGAGGGAGUUACCGGUUUGACCAUCCUCCAUCCAGUUUCGAGCCUGACCCAUUCUGCCCUAGACUUGUGUCAUUCAGGAAACUGGAUGAUCCACAGCCUGGUCCAACGACUAAAUCCCAUCUGGCUGAAAUGGACCCAGCCAAAAAUAAGCCAGUCGUGCACGAGCGAGCCAACCCUCAGCCUCCACCCGUCACAGCAGACACCGGGAUUGCUGGGAAGCCGUUCCGAGCCACGCAGGUCUGGAAUAGCGUCGUCGACAACCUUCAGACGCAGGUGGAGGUGAAAAAGAGACAACAAUCUGAAAAUCUAUCAGGAUUGUUUUUCGGGCUCGGAAGCUGUGGACGUGGUUCUGGCACAUAUUAUUCAGAGCAAGGUCUGCAAAGAUGCAGAGGUGCCUCGAUCCAAAGCCGUUCGACUCUGCCAGCACCUCAAUGAUGCCAAUGUCUUUGAGGAGGUGGACACCAACGAUUUUGGAAGAAUAAGAAUCAAGCGAAAUUUAAGGACAGCAGCUAUAGUCAGUAUAGGUUUCACCCGACCACGGGCACAUUAAGCACACCAUGGAUUAGGCACAUCAUCCCCAGAGACCAUCGAGAGAAGUUUUAACUCGCGUCAAAGGAACAACAACCAAAGACACCGGGAUUGAUGGGAAGCUCUUCCGAGCCACGCAGAUCUGGAAUAGCGUAGUCGACAACCUUCUGACGCAGGUUAAGGUGAAGUGAUUAUUGUAAAUGAAAUGAUCACAUACAACAGUUUUGAUAUACUAGGCCUUAUGUUGUGUUCAGACCAAACGCGAAUGGCGUGUUAAGCGCGAGUGAUUUACAAGUCAAUGCAAAGACACGAUAGACCUACUUGCGGCGCGAAUGAGGCGGUGCGAAUGAAGUGAAUUGCGCGAAUGAUGCGAAUCGCACGAUUCGAGUUAAAAAAUUUGAACUUUGGUGAAACCAAUCAGGUCGGACAAUCUGGCAAGUUGUAAAAAACAAUCUUUACAAUAUCUGAGCAAUAUAUGUAUAUACGAGAAUAGAGCCGCCAAUUUGCGUCUGAAGUGAAGUGAUUUUGACGCGCGAAUAAAGCGAAUUUGACGUGCGAAUGAAGCGAGUAAACUCAAAAUGUUCCAGCGUCUAACUGCGCGCGAAUAGCGUGAUUGAUUUGCGCAAGUCGCGUUUGGUCUGAUCACACAGUUGUUGAAACCUGGCUUAAGCCAAAUGAUUAUUUCGGUCUAAAUGAGUCUACUCCACCAAGCUACGGUUAAAUGCAUGAGCCAGGUCCGGUUGGUCGAGGUGGUGGUGUCGCAACAAUCUUUAGAGACCUUCUUACCGUAAUUCAAUGAACAAAGCAUACAUUUAAAUCAUUUGAAGUGCUUGUGUUGAACAUAAUUGUUCCAAACAAAUGUAAAAAAUCAUUGCUCUCUCUUACAUUGGCUACUAUGUAUAGACUCCCAGGGCCAUACCCUAAUUUUCUGAUAGAGUUCGCAAACUUCUUAUCGGACCUAUUGGUUAACGUCGAUAAAGUAUUGAUUGUCGGAGAUUUUAAUAUCCACAUAGAUAGUGCUAACGAUACAUUAGCAGUGGCGUUUAAAGAGCUACUACACUCUUUUUGUGUAACAAUACAUCAAUAGACCUAUUCAUCGAUUUAAUCAUACACUAGAAUUUAUUAUAUCUCACGGAGCCGAUCUAACCAAAAUCGAUAUUAUACCUCAAAGCGACGAUGUUACCGAUCACCAUCCUAUAAUAUGUACACAGUGUACUGCAGAAAUCAGUCGUAUAGCUGGUUAUCGACAGUGUAGAAAGAUCACCUCAACUACUAAAGAUAGUUUCGUAAAGAACUUGCCAGAUCUGACUCCUUUAAUAACCUUGCCAACAAAUACAGAAUUGCUCAAUGACAUGACCAGCAACAUGGGCACUAUUUUCUCUUAUACAUUAGAAGCGGUCGCACCUAUGAAGUCAAAAAAGAUUAAUGAAAAGAUCAUAGCACCAUGGUUUAAUAGCACCACUCGCGCCCUAAAAAGAGAAACACGUAAACUGGAGCACAAAAUGGAAACAAACCCAAUUAGAGGUCUUUAAAAUUGCAUGAAAAGAGAGCAAAAACCAACUUCCAACUGUUACAAAAAGGAACUAAAAGCAGCAAAAGCCGAGCACUUCCGUAACCUCAUAGAAACUAACAAAAACAAUCCAAGGUUUUUAUUUGGUACAAUUGCUAAACUAACAAACAAACCGACUUCACCUGACCUGGCUAUUCCGCCGCACCUUGAUAGCAAUGAAUUCAUGACAUUUUUUACAGAGAAAUUCUAAAUAUGCGAGACAACAAACCUCCAAGUGUGACUGAAGAAUAAGUAAUCAAACAUCACCCCAAAAGAAAAGCUACAGUGUUUUUCUCCUAUAAAACAGGAAGAUUUAAUUAAACUUAUUGCAAACCGACAGCAUGCUUAUUAGACCCCAUUCCAACGACAUUAUUAAAAGAGUUACUGUUGCAAUUGAGCCCAUUAACAACACUAUCAACUCGUCAAUUAAUCUAAGCCAUGUCCCAGGACCCUUUAAACUGGCUGUAAUUAAGCCUCUUUUAAAAAAAAAAACUUAUACCCCAAUGAACUUGGAAGCUAUAGACCGAUUUGAAAUCUCCCGUACUUGUCUAAAAAUAAAGUAGUGUCCACUCAGUUGUGUACUUUCCUUCAAAAUAAUGACAUACACAAAAAGUUUCAGUCUGGCUUUAGACCGCAUCAUAGCACUGAAACUGCGCUAUUUAGAAUUACAAAUGACCUUCUUAUUGCAUCAGAUAAAGGUAACAUUUCACUCUUAGUCCUGCUUGACCUUAGUGCUGCUUUCGAUACUGUAGACUAGAGGUGCGCGGAUGAGCUAAAAUGUCACCCGCAACCGCUGCUUCAAAUAAAUGAUCUACCCGCCACCCGCCCGCACGUAUAAUUUUCUCUGAUAUAAAUAUCCGCACCCGAUCGUCACUUUAAUUACUCUGCCAAUCUCUGAUGGUACAAUAAUACACUGAUCGUAAAAUGCUUUUAAAGGAACAUUUAUUUAUUAAACAAAAGUUUGUCUUCGGCCAGAUUAGCCUACAUUUUCUUAGUAAAAUAAACACAGGCGUACAUAAUCCCUUCAGACUUUUAAUAUCGCCGAUUCUGUCACUGCCACACAUACACAAAUGAAUGACUGGAUAACUGUACAUUUUCUAGCACUGUCUAUGUCUGCAAAUGCUUAAAUCUAAUCCUUCGAUUUAGCACACACAUGAUGUACCAUAUUCAAGGUCUUGUGGCUUUCAUAUACACACACAAUGCCUCACCGUCGUUGCUCACACACAUACUUUUCUUUCUUUUGUCCUUCGUUUUGUUUCGUUUUUAAUUCUUUAGAAUUCUUAUUCUUUUAAUUUGUUUUAACAUCUUUUAAGCCAAGCUUUCACUUAAUGCAUAGUUAACGAACAGCAGCUACGCUAAUUAUUCUCUUUCUGCCCCCUCCUCGGGAUGCCCAUCCCGAGAUAGGGAGAAAUUCCACCAGGUCCAGAGGAUCGACAGAUGCCCAUCCACAACUAGAGAUUACACCAGCUACAGCUGCAGCUGCUUUGGAUCAAUGCACAUUGUGAAAAGCACUAUAUAAACUAUAAAAUCUUGAAUUGACUUGAAGAGGAGACGACACAAUCUGAAAAAAAUGCUAGUUUUUUGGGCUCGUAAGCUGUGAAUCGGGUUCUGGCUCAUAUCGUUCAGAGCAAGGUCUCCAAAGAUGCAGAGGUGCCUCGAUUCAAACCCGUCUGACUCUGCCAGGCCCACAUGGAAGCCAAGAUCUUCGAGGAGUUUCAAUUGAUUCCCUUUAUGAAAGAUGUGCAAAGGAGAUUUUGUGGCGACUUCAUCAGAGUUGUACCCAGGGAGCCAGAGAGAAGAUAUAUUCAAUGUGCGGAUGAGCCAUGGAGCUUGCUCACUUGAAGAGCAUCAGAUAAGAUGCCGAAUUAAUUACAGUCUGGUCACACUGCAAACUGUCGUAUUAAACAAUACACAGACGUGAGGCCUUAGACCAAAAAGGUCUAAGUGACUGAAGAACCAACCUUUGACACCAGAGAUGUGCAGCCAGAGAAGAGCAAACAGUAUGAGAAUUCUGGAAGCAGUGGACCCACACUGGGAUUGAGAAAAAACGUUCUAUGUGUAGUGGGACAUGAAUUUCACACUUUAAUGUAGAUGCAGCUACAGUUCACUCAUUUACAGUAGUUGCAACUUCAAUUCACUGCCAAAUGAACUCCUGAUAAAUGCAGGUAAUGAGAAUUGCAUUUACAGAAAUUCUAUGUAGUGUCCACUGAACCCAAUUUAACUGUCUUUAAUUGUUGAUGAUGUCAUCACAGAAAGUUGCUGUAGUUAGACUGUGUCAUAACAAAUGCAGAGUGACUCCGGUUUCCGUACACAUGAGGAGCGAUUAUUAUUUAAGGCAGUGGUUCUCAAACUUUUCAGAUCAAGAACCACCUUUAAAAAAAUCAGUUGUUCCAAGUUCCACCUAAUGACCGCCAUAGAAAAUCAUAUGAAAAGACAUUCAAAUUAAUAGUAGAGCUGUGAAUCUUUAUAUUUACGCCCCGUCCUCCAAUUCUAACUUAUUAUUAAUAAUACAAAUACUUUUUGAAAAUGAAAUACAGUAUGUGUUUAUCAGCGAUCUGUGUCUAACUGUUUCAGUUUGUUUGCCAUUAUGAAUUGUUGUAAAGCAGGUUUAUACAAAACGUAUCUGUGAGAACAGUUAUGAUAAACGUCAUACCUCAAUGCCAUACUCUUCCUGACUUGACACAUUUGUACAUCCUAUCCAAAACACUGCGGUAAUCAGAGAAUGACUGGACCAGUCAAUGGCACACAAUCGUUCCUUUUAUUCUUGACUUUCAACCUGAUCGUAUACUCGCAAUGUUCUUAUUAAAAACUCCCAUUUAUUUCUUAAGUACUAUCUGUCUGAACAACUGGUGAAACUUGUAAGCCGCUUUGAAUUGAAACUCUCUCCCUGACUUUAGAUGUUUGACCAAACACCAAUCGAAAUCGUCUUUGUGGAAGGACAUUAAAGCUUUUCAGCCAUCUUUAAAACUUCAAAAUCAGCAAAAAAGCCAGCAGGUCACAUUCCACAUCUCUAUAAGACUGCUUCAAAAUAACAACAUACAUAAACAUGUAAUAAAAUGAAUAUACAAUAAAAUUCUACAAGUUGUUUAUUUAAUACCAGUAUACAAUACAAUAUUAAUUUAUACAAAAAAAUCUUAAGUGCUCAAAUUUUUGCAGAAAAAAUACAGUGUUUGUAUUUUUAGGCAGGAUAGUUCUACAAAAAGACAAAUCACAAAUGUUAUUACAUCUGACCAAAACUGUCAAUGUUCUUUUAUUUUUCAAAACUCGAAAUCUCACUUUUUGUUUUAGUGAUCUGAAACCCCUAAAGAUUAAUAACCUCAAUUUAAAUGUGGUGUUUGUUUGAAUUUUACUAAAUCUCCCUAAAUUCUGUGAUAUACUGUGAUAGAUGUGGUUGGUGGUGUGAGGUAAGAAAAAUAAUCGAAAUGUAUUUAAUACAGUAAUAAAUCAAUUAGAAAUUAAUACAAA